GUGUGGAAAGGGUGCCCCACCCCUGGUGUAUGCUCUACACGGGGCUACCCUAGAUGUCGAUGAUAGAAACUUAAAGUGGGGCAAACAUGACUGUGUGUCUCGUAAAAGCAGACAUGCACACAUUGAGCCUCUUUCGCAUUCAUUUCAUUGGUUACCGAUACCAGUGAGAACUUGCAGUGAUCACAUUUAUGGGUGCCUAGCUUUCUCAGCUUGCCCCGUAUUCCCAAUUCAGGGUUACUUACUCUUUAUCCACAGUUUACUCCUGCAUUAUAUGUACAGAGGGAGCAGUGUUCUUCCCCAACCCAAAACUGGUAUACAUUUACCAGCUCCCCUUUAAGGUAUAUAAUAACGUUACUCAGUGCUUUUUUCUUAGAAGAAAAGCACUGAAUGUACUAUUUUGACCCCUUUCUCCUGCACCUGGAAGUGGUGAAUGGGGUCAGGGACAGUAUUGUACUCCUCUUGGAGGGAGGAUAAUAUGUGUAUGUUUCUACGGAUAGAUGCACUUUGGAUCCCAAUGUAGGUAGCAGAUAGGCAUCGCCAAGACUACAAAAGGACUCUGGGCAGCGAAACGAACCCCUCUGAAGAUUGCUUGGAGCUUUCAAGGUCACCUGGAGCACACAUUCAAAGUUAUGGGGCUUGAGGGGUAGUGAGCAGGAGGGCAACAGCUAGAGAUGUGGACUGCUAGAGCAGAAGCAGGUAAGAAUACACUGCUUCCAUUCAUGAAAGGGAGAGGCUUGCCCUUAACUGGGCAGCACAGAAAAUGUUAACGUUAACAAAACAGUGGGUCUAAUUCCAGUAUCUGCACCUUGCCUCUUUCUACUGGGUGUGGGUGUAAUAUGCUUGCCAUGCCAUUCUUGACUUUUCUAUUAUAAAAAAUGAAUGAAUACCAACCACGGUGUGCAUGUGAUCCUGAUCAGGACUGUGGUGUGUGUGGGAGAGGGAACUGACUCCUUCCCCCCAAGUGGCAGUGGCAUCUGGGGAGGAAAAUAGCAGCUCUGGGGGGUAGGGGGAAAUGUCACAAAGAAAAAAAAUCAAUCCUCACACCCCAUGUGACACAUUCUCUUUCUGGAUCUCUACCCACACAUGCACGCAUGCACAAAAACCAGAGGCUAAUUUUGAAAAGCUUGAGAGAGAGGAUCACGUAGAAAAUAAAUAUCUUUUAUUUAGAGCCUUUCUUUCCCUCAGAACCUGAUAUUAGGUGUAAUUUUGCCUGAUACAGAAGCUUAUUAAAGAAGGGAGUCUUUCUCUCUGUCUCUCUCUCUUCUCCCCCCUCCCUUCUUCCAGUAAUUAACUGUUGCUUUUGGCACCUGUGAGCCUAACAUUUUCUAUUGUGUUUGAGUCUCUAUAGCCUGGAACAUGCUACAGGAUGCUAAAAUCCAAGACAAAACAUUAGCACAGAAGGCUUAAAGUGAUGCCAUAUUCAUUGUUAGCACAAACAAUAACCUUGGAUCCUGCAUUCUGUUCCUCUGAGCUGCACAAUCAUAAUCAUUCAGAUGGUGGUAGUUUGCAUGGAAUUAAGUUUUUUUUUAAAGGGAUGAAGGAUUUGCUUCAUGUUAAUGGGGGACAGUUGGAAGUCAUUUAUGAAAUCAUUUCAAUGUACAGCACGAGCACACUAGCGAUAAAAAGGAAGCCAGCACACAUAAAAGGAACAUCCGUCUCCAAAAUUGGUAUAAUUUUUCUACUAUUUGUGUGUUUACUUCUUAGAGUCUAACAUUUUGGCACAACAUGAACCUAUUAAUUUCUUCAGUGGAAAUAAUACACAGUACAGAACUAUAUACGGAUCGCUGUGCAUGUCAUUUCAACACUCCUACAUAUCCAGAUUUAGAAAUGGAACAGAAAUAAAGCUACCUCAUGAACACCCUAAUGUGUCAAAUUAUCCAGCAAUCCAGAAGUUACAAAGAAGGAUAACUUCUGAAAAUUAGGAUUCAGGUUGAGUACAUAUUUCAAACCCUUGCAAAGUUUGGAGCCGAUCAAAACCAGGAAAGGAGAUAGAGAAGGACUUGGGCUAGAUGUGAUGGUUUAGUGCUGACUUGGGUGAUUUAUGGCAACUGAACAAUGAGAGGAGCUCUUUGUCAACAUUUGCCAAACACUUAACUCCAACUUGUUGUGUCCAUACAGAGCAGGAGUGCCCCACCCGUGAAGUAAGGUGAGGCAGCUGCCUCAGGCAGCAGGGUCCACCUGGGACAGCAGAUCCCAAUGUCAAUAUUUCUCCCCCCCCCCACCUUUGUUUCUGUUGUAGUUCUUCCCUGACCUCUUCUUCCCUGGCAAGGAGGAAAGGAAGCUAUUUCAGGGUCUGCCUCAGGCCCUGGUACAGAGUACAUAAGGAAGUUAAAAAGCCAAAGUCUGGUUUCUAGAAUCACUGUAGUGAUUUUGAUGUGGCACCUAUGUGUUGCUUGACAAAGUAAAUUGUUUGUGGUACUUGUGGUGCAGUUCAUGGGCAGAGUUCAGGCUUGUUGGAUCUACUCUGUCUUUUACUACAAUCUCCCAAGCAGAGCCAGGUGGAAAAACCAAAACCAUAGUGUAAAGAGUAUGAGUUGCUUGUGCGUAAGUUGCCGCCUCUCCUGGCUUUGUUGCCUUGUUAGACCUUUCAGUCUGGACAGCCCUUCACUUCGUGGCUGCCUCAGUCGCUAGCAGAAUCCGUCAGUGGGCGUUUCUUAAACCUUUUCCAACAUAAAAGUUGUUUGACACCCAGUCUCCUCCUACUCUCUCUGCGCGGAAGUCUUCUGCGCAGGGAGGGCGUGGGUAGCGGAGGACCCGUGCUCUCCCUGCUGGUGUCCGGUGAAGAGUCUGGGAGCCCUCUCGCCGAUUCCCCCAUCUGCUCCUCUUUAUUCCUGGUGUUGCGCUGAAUUGCUUCCCCAUCUGCUGAGCUGCCUCUCUCCCUGCUGGGCCCUUCUCCAGCAUCAUUUGAGAGCCUUCCCUCCGCCUCUAGCUCCGAUGUCAGUUCCCUGACACAUAGAGUCAGACUGACAGAAUGGGGAGGCCUCUGAGCACAUUCUGAGCAUAGCUUUCUGUUUCCAGUUCCUGAAAUGGGCUCAUACUCCUUUCACAGCAAAUCUACUCUGGGUUAGCCCCAACUUUCUCCAUUUCAGCAUCCUGACUUAUUUGUUUGUUGCUGUUGUUUGGUGAUCAGAAACAUUUGCUGAUCUGCUGACCUACUGUAAAUGUAUCAGUAGAUUCCACGCUCACUUUGCCCACUCCUGACUUACACGCUUCUGUAACAAAGAAGACUAGUCUUGUUAACCCCACAGUCACUUUCCUAAAUAAUGCCACUCUCACACAGUUCUACUUAACAUCUCCGGGGACUAGGGAUGGAGAAGAGAUCCACCACAGUUCACAUUUAAAGCCAAAUCUAUCGACUCCACACUUUACGAAACAAUAUGAGAACCAAAACUAUACGCAAACCACACAGCCCACGCCAGAUGCUGACCUAACCACACCCUCCACUAUUUUGUGGGUAGCAUGGACACAGAUACACCAUUGCUUUCCAUGCCGUUGUAACUUCAUGCUGCUCUGGGUGAUAUGAGCAGCUCUGCUGAAUAGCUUCCUGUCCUUCCCCACUCCCAGAUUUUGUUUCCAGUUCUGUCAAUAUCUGCUUCAGAUGGAAGCAACCUGUAGUAAACAUGAUCCAGCAUCCUUGUGGCCCUUUUGGAGCAUCAUUAUAAAAUGGCAGCGGCUUUAUAGUAGUUGCUGCACAAAUAGGAUCCUGAGAUAUCUGCCAGCAGUCACCCCUGGCUGGAUUUUUAAAAAGAACAGGCCAUUACUGUAAUGAAGGCUGUGGAGACCUUCAGGCAGUCUUAGAAUAAGACCCAUCCAGACUUGAAAAACACAGGCAAGCUGUUGAUUAGUCUGCUGUAUAGUCCUCGGAGAUCUCAUGCCAGCAGUCAUUGCCCUGUUUAUAGCACAACAGGUUCUUUUCCUCUGAAGAAGUUUAAAGACAAUAAACAAUAGCGGUAUACCUGCAAUAAAACAUUUGCUAUUCUGACUUGUCCACAGUGUUGGUUGCCCCUUGCUGACUACGGUGGGUUACUUCACAGGUUUCUGAUUUCUACCACAGACCAUGUCUCUUACAAUGGUCUCCAGAGGAGUAGCCAUGCUACCUUGUUUCAGCAAACAAACAAAAGUAUUGUGUAGGGAGGGGGGAGAAAUUUGAUUUGGUUCAGACUGAAAGUUGAAUCUCCCUAUUUUUGAACUUUCCAAAACAAUCUGAGAACCGAAAAAAUAGUGGUCCUUAAAAAUUUGCCUUCCUCCGAAUUUUGCAGUGCAGUUUUCCAGCCAAGUAGUAUGUAUUAAAAUGCAUUUGCUGGGAUAAAGCAUCCAUUUUAAAAAAUCAAUAUAUUGGGGAAAAUAUGCUUUGUGAAAGAUGUGCAUUUUAGGAGACAUUCACAUUGAAAUUCUGGUGAAUUUCUAUGAGGAUCUUUAAAGGAAAAGUCAUGAACUGGUGUGAAGAACUGAGGAAUGGAAAAAUGAGGAACUGAGAGAAACCAAAAUUGCUACAUUCGCCCAUUCCUAGCCUUUUGGCAUCUUAAAGAUACAAAAACUCAGAUUUAUAUUUUUAUAAUUUAUUAAGGCCUAUUGGGGCAGCCCCAUAAUCUAAAACAAUGGUAGCCAAUGCGGUGCCAUCGAGAUGUUGUUGGUCUAUCAUCCUUGAUGUUUGGAUACGAUAAAAGUUGCAGUCCAGUAACAUCUGGAAGGAUCACAUUGCUACCUGUGGUCUAAGGCAGCCACACCAGGCCACCUAACAGAAUCCAGGGAGCAGACCUUGUAAACAUCCUAGACAUUAAUCCCCCCCCCAUUACUCUGACAACACUAUUCAGAGCCUAAAAACAUCAGCUGUAACAUUUACCUGCUCAUCUUUCGAUGUAAUAUAUACUAUCAUCUGACAGCAAUGCCCUUCUGUGUUCUACAUAGAAAAUACACACAAUAUUUCAACCUUCCAGGGCAUGCAAUGACUUUCCUUUAAAUUCGCAAUUCUU
Molecule: long non-coding RNA, 4973 nt
Filed under: Podarcis lilfordi (Lilford's wall lizard)
Lineage: Eukaryota; Metazoa; Chordata; Lepidosauria; Squamata; Lacertidae
Source: RNAcentral